UACGAAGGGGGCUAGCGUUGCUCGGAAUCACUGGGCGUAAAGGGUGCGUAGGCGGCGCGGUAAGUCGGGUGUGAAAUCUCGGAGCUUAACUCCGAGACUGCAUUCGAUACUGCCGUGCUUGAGGACUGGAGAGGAGACUGGAAUUUACGGUGUAGCGGUGAAAUGCGUAGAUAUCGUAAGGAAGACCAGUGGCGAAGGCGGGUCUCUGGACAGUUCCUGACGCUGAGGCACGAAGGUCAGGGGAGCAAACGGG
RNAcentral lists this ribosomal RNA (253 nucleotides) under uncultured bacterium. RNAcentral's name for it is "partial 16S ribosomal RNA". It matches the Rfam family "Bacterial small subunit ribosomal RNA", at positions 524 to 776 of the family's 1533-position model. The record is from RNAcentral.